Molecule: unclassified non-coding RNA, 1015 nt
Filed under: Hevea brasiliensis (rubber tree)
Lineage: Eukaryota; Viridiplantae; Streptophyta; Magnoliopsida; Malpighiales; Euphorbiaceae
Source: RNAcentral
AAGAUAGCAGAAAAUGGAUUGAGAGAAGCUGGGAUAAAUUACAAGUUCAACAAUUACGUUGGUGAUGGUAAGAUCACUGCUUCUGAUAAUAAAAUGCAUGCAGCAAAUACUGAAGAGGAUGAAGUAUAUGCUUUGGCUGGUGCAUUAGAGAAUAUAAUUAAGCAGUCUCAGGUUGAGAUCAUUGACCUUAAACAUACUGUUGAAGAGCUAAGGGAAGAGUCAAGUUUACUCAAGGAACAUGUGGAAACUCAAGCAAAGGAACUCAGUCAAUGGAAGCAACGUGUGGAGGAACUUGAAGAGAAGGAGAGGGUGGCAAAUGAAAAUGUUGAAGGGCUUAUGCUGGACAUAACUGCUGCUGAAGAAGAAAUUACACGAUGGAAAGUAGCUGCACAGCAAGAAGCUGCUGCAGGUAAAGCUGUUGAGCAAGAGUGUGCAGCGCAGUUUGUUGCUGUACGGCAGGAGCUUGAGGCAGCAAAGGAGGCUGUACUAGAGUUCGAAAAGAAGCUAAAAUUCAAAGAAGAAACAGCUGAUGCAGCCAUGGCUGCAAGGGAUGCGGCUGAGAAAUCAUUGAGACUGGCAGAUUUAAGAGCAUCGAGGCUGAGGGAUAAAGUGGAAGAGCUCACCCGUCAGCUUGAAGAGCUAGAUGGCAGGGAAACAUCAACAACUGGUCUAAACAGGCCAAGAUACAUGUGCUGGCCAUGGCAAUGGCUUGGCUUAGAUUCCGUAGGUAUGAGACGUGUAGAGACACAACAAGAGGGUGCCAAUGAAAUGGAACUUUCUGAACCCCUUCUUUGACAUCCUCCUCUUCUCUUUCUUUUGAUAAUAAUAGUAAUCUCCGCCCUGGCAUUUUUGUUUCUUCUUUUCUUGUAAUUCAUUUUAUAUUAUUUCCUCUGCAUUCCACCCGCUGUAUAUUUUUUGUGAUCUUUGUAAGAAAAGUAAUUGGACAAUACAUUGAUUGUUCAAAGUUAAAUAAGCCUUCUUGGCUUGUACACAAGUAAAACUGGCUCUGUUGAGA